CCGGUAAACGGCGGCCGUAACUAUAACGGUCCUAAGGUAGCGAAAUUCCUUGUCGGGUAAGUUCCGACCUGCACGAAUGGCGUAAUGAUGGCCAGGCUGUCUCCACCCGAGACUCAGUGAAAUUGAACUCGCUGUGAAGAUGCAGUGUACCCGCGGCAAGACGGAAAGACCCCGUGAACCUUUACUAUAGCUUGACACUGAACAUUGAGCCUUGAUGUGUAGGAUAGGUGGGAGGCUUUGAAGUGUGGACGCCAGUCUGCAUGGAGCCGACCUUGAAAUACCACCCUUUAAUGUUUGAUGUUCUAACGUUGACCCGUAAUCCGGGUUGCGGACAGUGUCUGGUGGGUAGUUUGACUGGGGCGGUCUCCUCCUAAAGAGUAACGGAGGAGCACGAAGGUUGGCUAAUCCUGGUCGGACAUCAGGAGGUUAGUGCAAUGGCAUAAGCCAGCUUGACUGCGAGCGUGACGGCGCGAGCAGGUGCGAAAGCAGGUCAUAGUGAUCCGGUGGUUCUGAAUGGAAGGGCCAUCGCUCAACGGAUAAAAGGUACUCCGGGGAUAACAGGCUGAUACCGCCCAAGAGUUCAUAUCGACGGCGGUGUUUGGCACCUCGAUGUCGGCUCAUCACAUCCUGGGGCUGAAGUAGGUCCCAAGGGUAUGGCUGUUCGCCAUUUAAAGUGGUACGCGAGCUGGGUUUAGAACGUCGUGAGACAGUUCGGUCCCUAUCUGCCGUGGGCGCUGGAGAACUGAGGGGGGCUGCUCCUAGUACGAGAGGACCGGAGUGGACGCAUCACUGGUGUUCGGGUUGUCAUGCCAAUGGCACUGCCCGGUAGCUAAAUGCGGAAGAGAUAAGUGCUGAAAGCAUCUAAGCACGAAACUUGCCCCGAGAUGAGUUCUCCCUGACUCCUUGAGAGUCCUGAAGGAACGUUGAAGACGA
Molecule: ribosomal RNA, 933 nt
Filed under: Escherichia coli
Lineage: Bacteria; Pseudomonadati; Pseudomonadota; Gammaproteobacteria; Enterobacterales; Enterobacteriaceae
Description: partial 23S ribosomal RNA
Rfam family: Bacterial large subunit ribosomal RNA
Source: RNAcentral